UGGGGAAUAUUGGACAAUGGGCGCAAGCCUGAUCCAGCCAUGCCGCGUGAGUGACGAAGGUCUUCGGAUUGUAAAACUCUUUUGGCGGGGACGAUAAUGACGGUACCCGCAGAAUAAGCCCCGGCUAACUUCGUGCCAGCAGCCGCGGUAAUACGAAGGGGGCUAGCGUUGUUCGGAAUCACUGGGCGUAAAGCGCACGUAGGCGGAUGUGCCAGUCAGGGGUGAAAUCCCGGAGCUCAACUCCGGAACUGCCUCUGAUACUGCACGUCUUGAGUUCGAGAGAGGUGGGUGGAAUUCCUAGUGUAGAGGUGAAAUUCGUAGAUAUUAGGAAGAACACCGGUGGCGAAGGCGGCCCACUGGCUCGGUACUGACGCUGAGGUGCGAAAGCGUGGGGAGCAAACAGGAUUAGAUACCCCCGUAGUCCCUGAGCGGGCUGGCAAGGCGCAU
RNAcentral lists this ribosomal RNA (447 nucleotides) under uncultured bacterium. RNAcentral's name for it is "bacterial SSU rRNA". It matches the Rfam family "Bacterial small subunit ribosomal RNA", at positions 355 to 825 of the family's 1533-position model. The record is from RNAcentral.